RNAcentral lists this ribosomal RNA (497 nucleotides) under uncultured bacterium. RNAcentral's name for it is "partial 16S ribosomal RNA". It matches the Rfam family "Bacterial small subunit ribosomal RNA", at positions 28 to 507 of the family's 1533-position model. The record is from RNAcentral.
GAUGAACGCUGGCGGCGUGCCUAAUACAUGCAAGUAGAACACUGAAGGAAGGAGCUUGCUCUUUCCGGAUGAGUUGCGAACGGGUGAGUAACGCGUAGGUAACCUGCCUGGUAGCGGGGGAUAACUAUUGGAAACGAUAGCUAAUACCGCAUAACAGUAGAUGUUGCAUGACAACUAUUUGAAAGGGGCAAUUGCUCCACUACCAGAUGGACCUGCGUUGUAUUAGCUAGUUGGUGAGGUAACGGCUCACCAAGGCGACGAUACAUAGCCGACCUGAGAGGGUGAUCGGCCACACUGGGACUGGGACACGGCCCAGACUCCUACGGGAGGCAGCAGUAGGGAAUCUUCGGCAAUGGACGGAAGUCUGACCGAGCAACGCCGCGUGAGUGAAGAAGGUUUUCGGAUCGUAAAGCUCUGUUGUAAGAGAAGAACGAGUGUGAGAGUGGAAAGUUCACACUGUGACGGUAUCUUACCAGAAAGGGACGGCUAACUACGUG